UGGAUCGGAUUUCUGAUUCCUUCCCCCCUCAAUUCAUUCCCUUCAUCAGGACCCAUUAAGAAGAAGAAAAAAAUCUGACCUCUCAUUUCCUCCCUGAGAGAUAAAUUUUAAUUUGCUGAAAACCAACAAAGGGAUGUGAGCCCUGUGUCCACACUAUGCCCUGCAGCUGGAGAAUCUCGCCGGGCACCCCUGGCCUAGAGCUGGCAGAGUGUUCCAUGGGUAUGCAAAUUUGUGGCGGCCCCGCCCUGUGGACGAGGGUGGAACGGUUCUUCACGCAGUGCCGGGCCUGGCCGCCAGAGGGCGACGCCGAGAACUGGCUAAGAGCGGAUCUGCACUCAGUCCAGGACUCAGGUUUUACGGUUUGUGUUUCUGUGCGUCUACGUUUUAUUAACUUUAAAGGCUGGUUUUUCUUGUUUGUUUUUUGUUUGUUUGUUUGUUUGUAGUUUUAGUUUUUCAGUUCUGUAGAUUGGACUUAAAACCUCACACAUGUCAAGCAAGCGCUCUGCCAACGAGCUAUAUUCCCAGCCCUAAUGACUGCAAUAGACUCCAACAAGAAAAGAGCUAUCAACUGUGGGGGCGCUAAAUUCAAGAUGCGGGUUCCUCGCUUUACUGAGUGAGGGGCCUUGCCACCGCUGUGGAUAAGACCCGGGAUUGGCCCACCCUGACUCUUUGUCCUGAAUGGAAACCAGCUCUUUUCCUGUAUUUGGAGACAGCCUUGCUAUGUGACUCAGGGUGCCUCAGACUCCAUCCUUUCGUCUCACUCUCUCAAAUGCUGGGAUCACAGGCACGCACCCCCACACCCUGCGCUGGGCACCUCUCCUUUACGGUGAAAGCCUCGCUGGCAAUGAGUCAGCUGAGUCAGCAGUUCUCGCCUCUGAGUGGAAAGUGUUGGAGCUCUCGGUUUGGAAUAGUUGUGAUGGAAAAGAGACGCACACACUGACAGCCACUGUUCCCGUGUGACAGUUGGGCCCUUGAAACAUGAGUACAUCUGGGAAAUGAAUGCUGUGAGAUGCACACUCAGGUCCUGCAUUAUUUUUUAAAAAUCUGUUUUUGUUUUACUUUUUCUUUUGUUUUUGUUUGUUUUUUUGUUGCUUUGUUUGUUAUUGAGGCAAGGUUUCCCUAUGUAGCCUUUGCU
Arvicola amphibius (Eurasian water vole) is the source of this 1135-nucleotide long non-coding RNA. RefSeq lists it as uncharacterized. The transcript has 3 exons. Lineage: Eukaryota; Metazoa; Chordata; Mammalia; Rodentia; Cricetidae. The record is from RefSeq and is a predicted model, not a curated record.